RNAcentral lists this small RNA (29 nucleotides) under Bombyx mori (domestic silkworm). Its description in RNAcentral is "ovarian small RNA-37484". Lineage: Eukaryota; Metazoa; Arthropoda; Insecta; Lepidoptera; Bombycidae. The record is from RNAcentral.
UUCUAUCGCUGCAAUGCGACUCUGUGGUC